AUGUCGCCGUUCUUCCGCUCCCCGCCUCAGCCGCUCCCGGCGCUCGCGGGUGCUGGGGAGUUCGCGCCCGUCAGGCCCACGAUCGGGUUCCCCGGGAUGCCGUCGCCGACGGUACUUGGUGUCAACCCUCACGCAUCCUGGCUACCGACGGCAGCUGCAGGUCCAGCCUAUCCUAACCAUGAUGUGGGCAUGAUUCCCGUAAGAACUUCUCAUGAUCUCCAUGUUAGACAACACAGCAUGAUCCCACAAAAUUUCGCAAGGCGCGCCCCUAGUUCCAGCAGCGAAAACGACGAGCCUUUCUCCUAUUGGAACAUGGGGAGGUUCCAGAGAAGCACCACGACUUCGUCGAUCUCUCAGGUUGCUGUUGAGCCUGGCAAUUUUGUGAAGAAGAGAAAUGCAGACUCCAACAGCUUGCUCCCUCUCAAGUUCAGAAAGCUGAGUGGGGCUGGAUAA
This 453-nucleotide ribosomal RNA is filed under the name Triticum aestivum (bread wheat). RNAcentral's name for it is "partial small subunit ribosomal RNA". The record is from RNAcentral. Lineage: Eukaryota; Viridiplantae; Streptophyta; Magnoliopsida; Poales; Poaceae.